CGAUAUUUUUGUUUUUGUUUUUCUAGAAAUGUUAAAUGAUAUUAUAAUUCAAGUUAUUAUAGCUUCUGCUGGGGUUACUUUAGUCAAUAGCGAUAAAUUAAAAUUUCUUCACAAAUUUAGUUAGAACAUAUACACAUGCAUAUAUAUAUAAUAUGUAUAUAUGUUUUCAAAAUGUGCUCAAACGUAUAUAUUAUAUGUACACAUGAAUUUGUAUGUUUGUUUAUGUACACAUGUAUAUAUAUUUAUUCACGUUUGUUUGCAUGUGUAUAUAUGUGUGCUUAUUUGUACGCAUUCAUUUGUGCAUUUGUCAUAUAUACAUGUAACUGUUUUAAAUUCUUAUUUUUUCCAAUUUUUUUUAUUUCUUGUAUUUUAGGAUAUACUAUCUAUGUUAUAAUUUUGUCGUUUUUACUAUAUAAAUGUAUACCAUGGAAUAGAGAAAAUUACUAUACGUAUUUAAAUAUCACACCUAACGCCACAAAACAAGAAAUACAAACAGCAUAUAGACAAGCAGCUAAAAUUUAUCACCCCGAUAAAAACCCAGACGAAUAUGCUAAUUCAUCUUUUAUAAAAUUAAAAGAAGCAUAUGAUAUUUUGACUGAUGAUGUAAGAAGAAGUAACUACAACAGAUUUGGCGAUUAUAAAAAUGGAGAUGUUGACGAUAGCACUGCAACGUUAUUAAUAUGUCUUUCACUUGUUCAACAUACUAUGUUUUUUAUUAUAGGCUAUUUUUUGUCAUACCCUAAGAAGUUAGAAUUUUCAAGACAGAUAUUUUUUGUGUAUAAUAUCGCUAGUUUUUGUUUCGAACUACAAUUUCGAUUCAUAGAAGAUGAUACAACAUUAGACUGGCUACCGUCAGUAGGGUAUUUAUUACCUUAUGAGAAAAUAAAAUUAUUAAGGAUGUUAUUCCCUCUAGUUUUUUUUAUAAGUAUUUGUUCAUCAGUUUUUACUUACACUGAUAAAAAUGCAACAUUAUUAUAUUUAAUGCGUUCGAUUUUAUCGACGAAUAGAAUAAUUGUUGAACGAUCUAAUGAUGUUAUAGAAUCAACCAACUAUUUAAAAAAAAAUGGAGAACAACUAAUUACGAAAUUGCAACAAAUUCGAAAAGAUAAUACACCAACUCCAACAAUAAAACUUAACAGUACUGAUAAAGAGAAUAAGGAAGGUACAGGAAAUGAAAAGAAAAAUGAAAAAAAUAAAACAAGUGAAGAAAGUUUAUUAGAAAAUGUACGAGAAUUUACAUUAAGUCUUGAUUCACAACAAAUGGAUUUAUUAAAAAAUUGUUUUGAUACGAUGAAAAAUAAAAAUAUGAUGAAUAAAGACAAAAAAAAAAAAUCUUGGUUUGAAAUGUUUUCCGUUCAAGUAAUAUUUGGUAUUAUAUUUAUUUAUGUAUGGUUAACAACUAAAUAAUGACACACACAUAUGAAUUACGUGUGUAUUGGGAAAAAAAAAAAAAAAAAAAUAAUAAUAAACAAAUAAAUAAACAGAUCA
RNAcentral lists this long non-coding RNA (1488 nucleotides) under Piliocolobus tephrosceles (Ugandan red Colobus). RNAcentral describes it as "lncRNA (ENSPTEG00000004057.1)". The record is from RNAcentral. Lineage: Eukaryota; Metazoa; Chordata; Mammalia; Primates; Cercopithecidae.